RNAcentral lists this ribosomal RNA (305 nucleotides) under uncultured bacterium. RNAcentral describes it as "bacterial SSU rRNA". It matches the Rfam family "Bacterial small subunit ribosomal RNA", at positions 338 to 640 of the family's 1533-position model. The record is from RNAcentral.
CCUACGGGGGGCAGCAGUGAGGAAUAUUGGUCAAUGGGCGGAAGCCUGAACCAGCCAAGUCGCGUGAGGGAAUAAGGCCCUACAGGUCGUAAACCUCUUUUGCCGGGGAGCAAGGGCCGGGACGCGUCCCGGCCCGGAGAGUACCCGGAGAAAAAGCAUCGGCUAACUCCGUGCCAGCAGCCGCGGUAAUACGGAGGAUGCGAGCGUUAUCCGGAUUUAUUGGGUUUAAAGGGUGCGUAGGCGGGCUUUUAAGUCAGCGGAAAAAAUUCGGGGCUCAACCCCGUCCGGCCGUUGAAACUGGGGGC